Long non-coding RNA from Drosophila mojavensis, 537 nucleotides. RefSeq lists it as uncharacterized. The transcript has 2 exons. The record is from RefSeq and is a predicted model, not a curated record. NCBI's taxonomy places the organism in Eukaryota, Metazoa, Arthropoda, Insecta, Diptera, Drosophilidae.
AUUCAUUUAUUAAAAUAUAUUUAUAACAAACAAAAUAUAUGAACGGAUCAUAAUAUAUUUUCAACAAUUUCCUUUGGUUUCAAAAGCUUUCUUGGAAAACGUUGACGGAAAACUAGUGCUAAGAGUGCUUUUCGUCUUUAAGGAUCUUGCUCAGCAGGCAUUGAAGUAUCAGCGCGACAUCAAUACACAGAGCGAUCUAUGGGAAUUGGCAGCCAACAACAACAACGAUCAUCGAGCAAAUCGGCCAGCUUUAGCUAGAAAGGAUUUGGCUUACAACAAGAAUGCCUGGAAGAGUAAAACCAAAAGAAACUUUGAUGAGAUCGAUAAGGCCUCCGUCAGCUUCGGCAUACUCAAUCCACUUGUAUAGUUGACUUUUGACUAGACUUGUAUACUCAUUUAUAAUUAACGCAAAUGCGCUUUGUGUCAGGGGAAAAAAGAUACGAAAUAUAUAUACUCAACAGCAACUGGGAAAUCGAAAGUAUUUGUAAAUACUAUAUACAGCAAUAUCAAUAAAAACAAUUCUAAUUGUUAAUAACA